CAUUCGUAAGUCUACGAGGUAAUAGAGUAAACCAAAAUUUAACCGGUCUAACAUCGAAAAUGAUAGAUUUACGUGAUGAGAAUGUUAAAAGUACAAUAAACAAUGGAAAAUAUGGUAAUUUAAAUAUACCAGUUACGUCGCAACAAGGGUUAGCACCACUUAGUCCAUAUUUAAACUUUGAUCCUGCGUAUCUUCCUCCAAGUCAACCAGAAUAUAUAUUUCCUGAGGGAGCUGCAAAACGAAGAGGAAGAUUUGAAUUGGCUUUCAGUCAAAUUGGUGCAGCAUGUAUCAUAGGAGCUGGUAUUGGCGGUGCAACUGGUUUAUAUAGAGGAAUUAAAGCAACAUCAUUAGCUGAUCAAACUGGCAAACUUAGAAGAACUCAAUUAAUCAACCAUGUUAUGAAAAGUGGUUCGUCGUUAGCAAACACGUUUGGAAUAGUGUCUGUAAUGUAUAGUGGAUUUGGUGUGUUGUUAUCUUGGGCUAGAGGUACGGAUGAUUCCUUGAAUACUUUAGCAGCAGCAACUGGGACAGGCAUGUUAUUUAAAUCUACAUCUGGCUUGAAAAAAUGUGCAUUAGGUGGUUGUGUAGGACUGGGAAUAGCAUCUGUAUAUUGCUUAUGGAGUAAUCGGGAAGUCUUACAGGAAUUGAGGCAUCGCAACGUAAAUCCGGCGUAAGACUGUGUGUAACACCAAAACCUCUGGCUAUUCCGAAUAUUUUCCUUAUAAAGAUCUAAAUGAAGUAUGAGCAAGAAGAUUUUGAGCUACUAGAAAUUUGCACAACGAAAAUGAUUCGUUUUGUACAUAGAGAAAAUCAUGUUGGACAAUUUUAUAGAAUAUAAAUAGUUUAAUGAAA
Molecule: RNA transcript, 852 nt
Organism: Bombus pyrosoma
Lineage: Eukaryota; Metazoa; Arthropoda; Insecta; Hymenoptera; Apidae
Gene: Tim23
Gene name: mitochondrial import inner membrane translocase subunit Tim23
Exons: 5
Source: RefSeq, a predicted model, not a curated record